This 571-nucleotide long non-coding RNA is filed under the name Manacus vitellinus (golden-collared manakin). Its description in RNAcentral is "lncRNA (ENSMVIG00005010167.1)". The record is from RNAcentral. Lineage: Eukaryota; Metazoa; Chordata; Aves; Passeriformes; Pipridae.
CCGUCCCCGUCCCCGUCCCCGUCCCCGUCCCGCCCUGUGCCCCCGCACCGUGCCGGGCUGGCGGCACACGGGGCUGCCACUCCUCUCUGCUCCGGCCGCGUGUUCCAUGUGUGUGCCAGCCCGCAGUUCCCCGUUCCGCCCCGACGUCGGCGGCGCCGUGCCUUGUUUGCUCCUGAGCUGACUUUGGAAGAUGUCUGUGUUCUGCACUGUGAAAGCUGAGUCCAGACAGCUUUUAAAGGAAGAUUCUAGCAGACAACAAAUAAGAUACUGGAACCUGAAUGAAUACAUAGAAUUUUUGAAACAAGAAGUGUGAAACAAGUCCUUCUACUACUCAGGCCUCUGCCUGUGCGACAUGAUGAUCACAUAGGAAGAAGGAGGCAAAAUGAAGUAGCACACAGGAUUCAAACAGCCAUUAUACAGAUUCCAAAGUCACCAUCAAGACCCAUCAUAAAAGCUACUGAAGCCAAAAAAUUCUUAAUGAAGAAAAGAAAAGCAGAGUGGGCAGCGUGGUAUGUUUGUCAGACACAAAGGAUUUGUAGGGGGAAAUAAGAAUAUUGUAAUAAUAGAUUAG